Molecule: ribosomal RNA, 433 nt
Filed under: uncultured bacterium
Lineage: Bacteria
Description: partial 16S ribosomal RNA
Rfam family: Bacterial small subunit ribosomal RNA
Source: RNAcentral
AACGAACGCUGGCGGCAUGCCUAACACAUGCAAGUCGAACGAGACCUUCGGGUCUAGUGGCGCACGGGUGCGUAACGCGUGGGAACCUGCCCUUAGGUUCGGAAUAACUCCCCGAAAGGGGUGCUAAUACCGGAUAAUGUCUUCGGACCAAAGAUUUAUCGCCUUUGGAUGGGCCCGCGUUGGAUUAGCUAGUUGGUAGGGUAAAAGCCUACCAAGGCGACGAUCCAUAGCUGGUCUGAGAGGAUGAUCAGCCACACUGGGACUGAGACACGGCCCAGACUCCUAAGGGAAGGAGGAAUGGGGAAAAAUGGAAAAAGGGGGAAAGGCUGAUCCAGCAAAGCCGGGUGAGUGAUGAAGGGCUUAGGGUUGGAAAACUCUUUUAACCGGGAUGAUAAUGACAGUACCGGGAGAAUAAGCUCCGGCUAACUCCGUG